RNAcentral lists this small nucleolar RNA (135 nucleotides) under Solanum tuberosum (potato). The record is from RNAcentral. Lineage: Eukaryota; Viridiplantae; Streptophyta; Magnoliopsida; Solanales; Solanaceae.
AUCCUAAAUAACCUGAGUUAUUACAAGUGCUUAUUUGAUUCAUAGGAGACCUAAAUCAAAGUCACAAAUGGACUUUUCGCUGAGAACGCUUUCUCUUUUUCCAGGAGGUGUUUACUAGUCUAUUCCCAUACAUCU